RNAcentral lists this ribosomal RNA (468 nucleotides) under uncultured bacterium. Its description in RNAcentral is "partial 16S ribosomal RNA". It matches the Rfam family "Bacterial small subunit ribosomal RNA", at positions 28 to 507 of the family's 1533-position model. The record is from RNAcentral.
GAUGAACGCUGGCGGCGUGCUUAACACAUGCAAGUCGAACGGUGAAGGCGGAACUUUCUCUGCUGGAUCAGUGGCGAACGGGUGAGUAACACGUGAGCAAUCUGCCCCUGACUCUGGGAUAAGCGCUGGAAACGGCGUCGAAUACUGGAGACGAGCUUCGAAGGCAUCUUCAGCAGCUGGAAAGAAUUUCGGUCAGGGAUGGGCUCGCGGCCUAUCAGCUUGUUGGUGAGGUAAGGGCUCACCAAGGCGUCGACGGGUAGCCCGCCUGGGAGGGGGGACGGGGACCCGGGUACUGCGGGACGGACCAGACUGCUACGGGAGGCAGAAGUGGGGACCAUUGCACAGUGGGGGCAAGCCUGAUGCAGAAACGCUGCGUUUGGGACGACGGCCUUCGGGUUGUAAACAUCUUUUAGCAGGGAAGGAGCGAAAGUGACGGUACCUGCAGAAAAAGCGCCGGCUAACUACGUG